Molecule: ribosomal RNA, 431 nt
Filed under: uncultured bacterium
Lineage: Bacteria
Description: partial 16S ribosomal RNA
Rfam family: Bacterial small subunit ribosomal RNA
Source: RNAcentral
AACGAACGCUGGCGGCAGGCUUAACACAUGCAAGUCGAGCGCCCCGCCAGGGGAGCGGCAGACGGGUGAGUAACGCGUGGGAACGUACCUUUUGGUUCGGAACAACUCCGGGAAACUGGAGCUAAUACCGGAUAAGCCCUAACGGGGAAAGAUUUAUCGCCGAAAGAUCGGCCCGCGUCUGAUUAGCUAGUUGGUGAGGUAACGGCUCACCAAGGCGACGAUCAGUAGCUGGUCUGAGAGGAUGAUCAGCCACACUGGGACUGAGACACGGCCCAGACUCCUACGGGAGGCAGCAGUGGGGAAUAUUGGACAAGGGGCGCAAGCCUGAUCCAGCCAUGCCGCGUGAGUGAUGAAGGCCUUAGGGUUGUAAAGCUCUUUUGUCCGGGAAGAUAAUGACUGUACCGGAAGAAUAAGCCCCGGCUAACUUCGUG